GCAUGUGAGGGUGAUCUGGCUGUACCAUCUUAACCCAUUGAUCGCCAGGGUUGAUUCAGCUAAUCUGACUGGUUAUGUGAGUGUCCCCCUCCUCCCCCCGCCACUCCAUGGCAAUCCCUUCUGAAGCUGUGCACUUGAAGAGGACGACUUUCCCUGGUAGGAGGACCAUUCUUGUGUCAAGGGUGGUCCAGUAGCUGUCUUCCUCUGCUAGAACUCCAAACACACUCUCAGUCUCCAACCCGUUCCCCAUCCCACACACCUAUCUAUGAAAAUGGGGUCAUAUCAUCUUUGUCCCUGAGUGAGUUAAAACUCCCUACUACAG
RNAcentral lists this small nuclear RNA (322 nucleotides) under Castor canadensis (American beaver). RNAcentral describes it as "7SK RNA (ENSCCNG00000021266.1)". It matches the Rfam family "7SK RNA". From Rfam's summary of the family: 7SK was discovered as an abundant small nuclear RNA in the mid-70s but a possible function has only recently been suggested. The record is from Rfam by way of RNAcentral. Lineage: Eukaryota; Metazoa; Chordata; Mammalia; Rodentia; Castoridae.